AUUGAACGCUGGCGGCAUGCCUAACACAUGCAAGUCGAACGGGGGCAGCAAUGCCCUAGUGGCGGACGGGUGAGGAAUACGUAGGAACCGGCCCACGAGUGGGGGACAACCUGGGGAAACCCAGGCUAAUACCGCAUACGCUCGCGAGAGGAAAGCGGGGGGACCUUCGGGCCUCGCGCUGGUGGACGGGCCUACGUCCGAUUAGCUCGUUGGUGGGGUAAAAGCCUACCAAGGCGACGAUCGGUAGCUGGUCUGAGAGGAUGAUCAGCCACACUGGGACUGAGACACGGCCCAGACUCCUACGGGAGGCAGCAGUGGGGAAUAUUGGACAAUGGGCGCAAGCCUGAUCCAGCAAUGCCGCGUGGGUGAAGAAGGCCUGCGGGUUGUAAAGCCCUUUAAGCGGGGAGGGAAAGCCGGGGGGGUGGAAUACCCGGUGAGGCUGAGAGUACCUGAAGAAUAAGCACCGGCGUAACUACGUGCCAGCAGCCGCGGU
Molecule: ribosomal RNA, 493 nt
Filed under: uncultured bacterium
Lineage: Bacteria
Description: bacterial SSU rRNA
Rfam family: Bacterial small subunit ribosomal RNA
Source: RNAcentral